Molecule: ribosomal RNA, 460 nt
Filed under: uncultured Treponema sp.
Lineage: Bacteria; Pseudomonadati; Spirochaetota; Spirochaetia; Treponematales; Treponemataceae
Description: bacterial SSU rRNA
Rfam family: Bacterial small subunit ribosomal RNA
Source: RNAcentral
ACGGAAGGCAGCAGCUAAGAAUAUUCCGCAAUGGACGAAAGUCUGACGGAGCGACGCCGCGUGGAUGAUGAAGGUCGGAAGAUUGUAAAAUCCUUUUAUAACUGAGGAAUAAGUACUGUCAGAGAAAGGCAGUAUGGUGACUGUAGGUUAUGAAUAAGCAACGGCUAAUUACGUGCCAGCAGCCGCGGUAAUACGUAAGUUGCGAGCGUUGUUCGGAAUUAUUGGGCGUAAAGGGCAUGUAGGCGGAUAUGCAAGCUUGGUGUGAAAGGCGGGAGCUUAACUCCCGGACUGCGUUGAGAACUGCAUAACUAGAGUGACUGAGGGGCAGGCAGAAUUCCAGGUGUAGGGGUGAAAUCUGUAGAUAUCUGGAAGAAUACCAAUGGCGAAGGCAGCCUGCCAGCAGAUGACUGACGCUGAGGUGCGAAGGUGCGGGGAGCAAACAGGAUUAGAUACCCUGGUA